AAUUCGCCCUUGAGCACGUAGGUGGGUUUGUAAGUCAGAUGUGAAAGCCUUCUGUUCAACGGAAGAAUUGCAUCUGAAACUACAAGUCUUGAGUGUAGGAGGGGAGAAUGGAACUUCUGGUGGAGCGGUGAAAUCUGUAGAUAUCAGAAGGAACGCCGGCGGCGAAAGCGAUUCUCUGGCCUAUUACUGACACUCAGUGUGCGAAAGCUAGGGGAGCAAACGGGAUUAGAUACCCCGGUAGUCCUAGCCGUAAACGAUGGGCACUAAGUAGUGGGAAUUACCGAUGUUCUCUCUGCCGUAGCUAACGCAUUAAGUGCCCCGCCUGGAGAGUACGGCCGCAAGGCUAAAACUCAAAAGAAUUGACGGGGGCUCGCACAAGCGGUGGAGCAUGUGGCUUAAUUCGAUGCAACGCGAAAAACCUUACCGGGGCUUGACAUGUUAGAAGUGGGAACCUGGAAGGGUAACGAACGGUAUCCAGUCCGUAGCUAUCACAGGUGUUGCAUGGCUGUCGUCAGCUCGUGUCGUGAGACGUUGGGUUAAGUCCCCUAACGAGCGAAACCCUUGUUUUUAGUUACCAGCGGGUUGUGCCGGGUACUCUAGAAAGACUGCCGUCGUCAAGACGGAGGAAGGUGGGGAUGACGUCAAGUCAUCAUGGCCCUUAUGCCCCGGGCUGCACACGCGCUACAAUGGUCGGUACAAACGGAAGCGAAGCCGAGAGGUGAAGCGAAUCCAAGGGCGAAUU
This 742-nucleotide ribosomal RNA is filed under the name uncultured Planctomycetota bacterium. RNAcentral's name for it is "bacterial SSU rRNA". It matches the Rfam family "Bacterial small subunit ribosomal RNA", at positions 552 to 1283 of the family's 1533-position model. The record is from RNAcentral. Lineage: Bacteria; Pseudomonadati; Planctomycetota.